GUUAGGUUCCUUCGGUUUUCCUUUCAGAUUCUAAAAUAAAUACACGCCCAGGCCCUGGGGAAAUCCGAAUAGCAACUCAUUCAAUAAUCCAAAUUAUAUGAGAGGGUCUGAGACAGAGAGAGAGGGAAAAAAAAGAGAAAAAAGGACAAUCCAACCACAGACGCCCUCGGAUCAAGGAGGGCACGGGAGUGAGAAGGCGACAGAGGAGGUCCCCAGCUCGCCCUGGGCGCGGGGAGAGGACUCUGGUCAGAGGUAAUUAUGUCACUGCGUUUUCUCGCCGUGACAGCCGAAUAAACACGAUCUCCAAUAAACAUCUCUAAUGAGGGAGGAGGCCCGAGGAUGACUGGGUUUGAUUUAUGACUGGAGGAGAAAGUCCACUUCCCACUGCGAAGCGGGCACCCUGCUCGCCGCCCAGCUCCGGAGGAAGGAAACCGCGGAGCAGAGGACCGGGCCCAGGCUCUCAAAAGUCGAUACGACCCUCAUUUCGACCCACGAUUCUGCUAAUGCACCUGCCAUAGAGGAACGUUCUCCGGAAAGGUGUGUCAUCCACGCCUGGUGUGAGCCAAGCCAGCAGGACUGUCGUUGGAGAAGACCCAGCGGCCUGACACCUUCUCUUGCUCCCGGGGAAGGAAAGUUUUCCUUUUGAUUCGUCCUCUCACUAUGUCUCUCUUUUUCCUUGGCGGUACAGUUUCAGAGAGGAAUGUAAAUAUUUUGACUAGACCUCUGCAGGGGCCUUUUAAACCCCAGGCACAGUCAUCGGUGCAAUACUGUAGUUCAUCGUUUUAAAACUUGAAUGUUAGAGUUUGUCUUGCCGGGGGAACCCAUAGAACUAAGUGGUGACCCCUCAACUCCCUGUUUGUAUAAUGAAGUAUUCCUUAGCGAUUGUCCAAGUUUUAAGGACUCUUUCUGUUGCUGCUGCUUUCUAAUUGUUUGAGGGGAAGGAAAAUCAAUCUAAGAGGCGUGUUGCUGGGCUUGGGGCAAAAUCAGAUUUCACCAUGCUUCACUCUUAGCUCUUCUGUCUUUCCUCCUGUGGGGCAUGGACCCGAGGUAGAGAUUUUAUUUUUAUUUUUAUUUUUUUGCCAAAGGGGAAAUCUUUUUUGAAAAAUUCAAAAAUUUUCCAAAUUAAAACCCUGUUUAGCUCUUCUGUGCAUGUGAAGUAGGAAUUUUCUUUUCCUGCUUUAGUAUUUAAUACAAAGCAGAUACGUUGAAACAGAAUGCAAAGUUCAGAAAAACCAAAAUAAGGAGGAAAAGGAUGCUAAGGUUUCUCUAGGUUCUGUACAUAAGGCAAAUAAGGCAAUGUGCUUUUUUUUUUUUUUUUCUCUCCAAACUGAAGCAAAACUUGCCAGGAGGCACAACACAGCACUGAAUGUGUAUUUUAUAUACAUAUAUUAAAAUACAUAUAUAUAUACAUAUAUAUAUACACACACAUACAUACACACACAUAUAUGUAUAGCAAACAUUCCCCAAUAUUGAUACACCUGUGACUUCAUAGUCUGAAAAUAUUUCUAAACACAGUCAUGGUAUAAAAACAUUGAUUUCAAUUCUGGUCUUGUAGUUAUUAAGGUAGCACUAAUGUUAUUCUUGAUCUUAAAAUACUUUCACUGUUAAUGUCAGUUGUGGCCACUUUAAACCCUGGAUACUCUAGCAAAACCGCCUAUAAUGUGCUUAUUUCUUUAUCCCAUUCUCCUGUAGUGUAAUUAAUAUUUUUACAGAAAAUAUUUUGAGCAUCCUUAAGUCCUUUUUAAAAUCAAAUACUCCAUGUUUGUGACAAGUAAGGCUGAUCAUUUUUAUUUUGUUUGUAGAAAAUUCAUUUUACUGAAAUAAAGUAUAAUACUGAAAAUUUAAAA
This is a long non-coding RNA of Canis lupus familiaris (dog), 1847 nucleotides long. RefSeq lists it as uncharacterized. The transcript is spliced from 2 exons. Lineage: Eukaryota; Metazoa; Chordata; Mammalia; Carnivora; Canidae. The record is from RefSeq and is a predicted model, not a curated record.